This is a long non-coding RNA of Talpa occidentalis (Iberian mole), 611 nucleotides long. RefSeq lists it as uncharacterized. The transcript has 3 exons. The record is from RefSeq and is a predicted model, not a curated record. Lineage: Eukaryota; Metazoa; Chordata; Mammalia; Eulipotyphla; Talpidae.
CUGAGUCUCUCGGCAAAAAAUACUAGCACCUCACCAAGUGUCAGUGUCUCCUCAUUCUACCUCAUCCCCUUCCCCUCAGCCCCUAAGUUUCAGCCCUUUCAUUUUCGCCGACGCCGUCUCAUCCUUUCAGGAACCCCUGACACGACGUUUUGCUGGAGGCUGGUCCCCGGCAAGGCCCCAUUUUGAAUUCUUACUUAAGAUGGCAAAUACCUCAAUAGUAAUCAUGAUUCACAGAUCUCUUGUGAGGAUCAGCGUUCAUCUCCAGACAAUGCAACCGUUUUCCACUUGAGCUGAAAAGAUGGAUCACUGGGACCUUAACACCUAAACACUUGUUCUCGAUCACACCAUGUCCCCCACUGUGCUCCUCUUCAAAGUCGCUCCUAGCCCAGUGUUCCUCAGAGACUAAGCAAUUGGAUUCAAGGAAUGAAUAAGUGAAUAUUUAUUCUUAUGCAGGAAUCUUGCCACAUUCUAUUCAUUUUCUUCGUGCAGCCAACCGAAUUUCAUCUUAGCAAGCAAUGAAUGCUCUAACCUUUAUGUGAUAGAGAUAAGAGCAGAGAUUCAGAAGUUAAAGAACUUAUGCAGAGUCAAUAUUGGUAAGUAGCAAAACAGGC